AAAGGGAUAUGGUUCCAUCCUCAAACUUGCAAUUAGCAACACAAAUAUAUAGCUUUUGAUAGAAAUGGCCAUCCUACGUGCCUCCAAAUUGAUGUCAUUUGCUGCUCUUUUAGCAAUACUCUUACUACUCAUGUCCUUUGAGCUCGGAAGUGCUGCCCAGCCUAGUUUUAAACUCGGGCGAAAACUUUUCCAAACUGGAGAGUUGCCACCAACUUAUGGUUCAUAUCCUGGUGGUGGAGGAUAUACCCCAAAUCCAUGAAAUCAUUAAGCACGAGAAGAGGGAAAUAACCAAUACCCAGUAACCAGUCUACACCAAACUGCAUGCUCUUUGGCUGAAAUAUUGGAGAUGUUAGCAUCCUUCUUUAAUUCUAAGAUUGCAUACAAGCGAAAUAAAAAACAAUUUAAAAAUGUGUGUGUAAUUUCUACUCUACCAGAAUAAUAAUAUACAUGUCAAUUGUCAUGUACUUAAUUUCACCGAACCAUGUGUAUUUACUGCUAUCAGUCACUGGUCACAACCAUUUAGUGGCCCAUACCUGAAUUACAGCAAAUAAAAUUCCUAUUCUCGCUUU
Molecule: long non-coding RNA, 569 nt
Organism: Glycine soja
Lineage: Eukaryota; Viridiplantae; Streptophyta; Magnoliopsida; Fabales; Fabaceae
Exons: 2
Source: RefSeq, a predicted model, not a curated record